AUGGAGGAGAGGUCUGCUCUAUCUAUUCCCUCCGUUUCCUCUGGUUCAAAGAUCACUGGUGAGACUCCGCCAACAGUCAGCAGAAGCAAUCCUGGUGACACCCUUUUGGCCUCGACAGUUUUGGUUUCCGACCCUGCUGGAAAUGGCAAUAGACUCUGUGAGACUUCCAAUUUUUCCAGCCCUGCUCACUCAGGAUGCAGGCAAGAUCUUUCACCCCGACCUGAGCACACUGUGUCUCACUGCGUGGAGAAUAUCCCGGAGAUCAAAGAGAUACUAGAUAAGUCCAAAAAGGCAUCAACCUCCACAUUGUAUACUUAUAAGUGGAAGAGUUUUCUUAAGUUCACUGAGUCUAGAGGAUUGUUAGCUUCUCCAGCCUCACUUUCUACAUUGUUGCAGUUCCUACGUUAUUUGUUCGACUUUAAGCUGUCUGUUUCUACUUUAAGAGUUUACAUUGCGGCGAUUGUUUUGUUUCAUCCUAGAGAUUCUCCUUCACGUUUCUUUUCUCAUCCCACAGUCAAGGCUUUCCUCAAGGGGCUUACCCAUCUACAACCUCCGGUUAAACCGCCGGUACCCCAGUGGUCACUCCAUCUAGUGUUGAAUGCGCUCAUGCGUCCUCCAUUCGAGCCUCUGGCUACCUGCUCUCUCAAGCUGCUGUCUCUGAAGGUAUUGUUUCUGGUCGCCAUCACGUCUGCUCGUAGGGCUAGCGAGCUUGUUGCCCUGCGAGCUGACCAACCCUUCUUACAGUUUUUCCACGAUAAAGUAGUUUUGCAUAUAAAUGUCUCCUUUCUUCCAAAGGUCGUCUCAGAAUUUUAUUUGAACCAGCCUUUAAUACUCCCUACGUUGUUUUCACAACCUGCAACUGAUACAGAGCACAUGCUCCACACUCUGGAUGCCAGGAGAGCACUGUCUUUUUACGUUUCCUGUACCAAGGACUUCAGGUUGUCUCCCAAACUUUUCCUGUGCUAUUUUGGGCAGAAGAAAGGUCUUCCAGCCUCCUCCUUGUCAAUCUCAUGGUGGCUGGUUACUGCGAUAUCUUUAGCCUAUGAACUUCAGCAGAAGUCUCCACCUGAGGGUUUGCGCGUCCAUUCCACCAGGGCAGUAGCCUCUUCCACAGCUCUUCUACGUGGUGUCGAUCUCCCUGACAUAUGCAGGACUGCUACUUGGACCUGGGUGUCCACCUUUAUCACCCAUUAUAGACUAGACAUGAGGGCCAAGAGAGAAACAAGAUUUGGGAGAGUUGUCCUCGCGUCCGCCCUUCAGUGA
This 1263-nucleotide long non-coding RNA is filed under the name Pogona vitticeps (central bearded dragon). RNAcentral describes it as "lncRNA (ENSPVIG00000012681.1)". Lineage: Eukaryota; Metazoa; Chordata; Lepidosauria; Squamata; Agamidae. The record is from RNAcentral.